RNAcentral lists this long non-coding RNA (265 nucleotides) under Brassica napus (rape). Its description in RNAcentral is "long non-coding RNA (BNAP_LNC011359)". The record is from RNAcentral. Lineage: Eukaryota; Viridiplantae; Streptophyta; Magnoliopsida; Brassicales; Brassicaceae.
CUCUGCCAUCUCCGACUUAAGCCUCUGUUCUCAUACAUCAUCUGAGAUGUCAUAGAGGAGGUCCACACUUGCUGGCGUUGCUUUCCUAGAAACAAGGUCUGAAGAAGGUGUUCAAAGUAAAUUAGCUUAGAUAAAGAAACACCCAAAGGUCAAAAGAGUUCAUAGCUUAGAUAAGUAUGAUGCAUCCUACACUGAAUUUUAGAAUGAAGAAGGAGAGUUCACCUUGUCAUAUCUGGCACAUAUCACAUUCCCACAAUCAAAACCA